GGAUUCAUUAAUAAGUAACUAAUGAAAACUGCUAAUGAAUUGAAUUUGGUCGUGAAUAGGAAAAUUACAAUGAAAAGGGAAAGAAUUUUUAGAAACGAAACAAUUCAGAGACAAGAGAUUAUAAUUGGAACAGAUCUGAGAAUUAACAUCAAUCUAAACCAAACACCAAAAACAAAAACGUCGAAAACAGAUUUCUCAAAAGCAAUUGCAAAAGCUGAGAAAAU
RNAcentral lists this unclassified non-coding RNA (224 nucleotides) under Hevea brasiliensis (rubber tree). Lineage: Eukaryota; Viridiplantae; Streptophyta; Magnoliopsida; Malpighiales; Euphorbiaceae. The record is from RNAcentral.